GAGUUUGAUCUUGGCUCAGAUUGAACGCUGGCGGCAUGCCUUACACAUGCAAGUCGAACGGCAGCACGGGAGCUUGCUCCUGGUGGCGAGUGGCGAACGGGUGAGUAAUGCAUCGGAACGUAUCCUGGAGUGGGGGAUAACGUAGCGAAAGUUACGCUAAUACCGCAUAUUCUGUGAGCAGGAAAGCGGGGGACCUUCGGGCCUCGCGCUCUUGGAGCGGCCGAUGUCGGAUUAGCUAGUUGGUGAGGUAAAGGCUCACCAAGGCGACGAUCCGUAGCAGGUCUGAGAGGAUGAUCUGCCACACUGGAACUGAGACACGGUCCAGACUCCUACGGGAGGCAGCAGUGGGGAAUUUUGGACAAUGGGGGCAACCCUGAUCCAGCCAUGCCGCGUGAGUGAAGAAGGCCUCGGUGUAAGACUACUUCGUCGAGGAGAA
RNAcentral lists this ribosomal RNA (436 nucleotides) under bacterium enrichment culture clone ALO1_GLFRUDD03G1H57. RNAcentral's name for it is "bacterial SSU rRNA". It matches the Rfam family "Bacterial small subunit ribosomal RNA", at positions 9 to 448 of the family's 1533-position model. The record is from RNAcentral.